UUUCAUUUUAUUAUUAAUUUUAUUGAUAAUCAAAGCUUAAUAAUUUCAUUCUAUUAUUAAUUUAAUCGAUAAUCAAAGCUUAAUAAUUUCAUUCUAUUAUUAAUUUAAUUCUCUUUGCUUUUUUCUCAGGGCUUCUUCAUUUCAUUGAAACUAUUUCUCAUUUAUUUUUCUUACAUGCCGUAUUGUGCAUAUUUAUAGGAACAAGUUUUUCUAUGUUCAAGUCCUAGCACAUUUUAUGUAGACCAACAAAAUGAAAUUGAAAUGGACAAAGUAAAAAUCCAGCUCAAAUUGUAUUGGUUACAAACAAAUGUGAUGUUUGUCUUAUGUGAUGUGUAUUAUUGGUUCCUGUGAUUUCCUUCACUUUUCUAUCCCAAUGUUCUUCCAAAUCUCUGGUCAUACAGAUAUUUAUUUUUCUGUCUGUCUCUAGUUUAGUCAGAAUCCUAGUAGUGCUGCAUUGGCUUUGGGCUCUAGUUGUCACAAUUACAUGUACCAAAGUUCUCUAGAGAACUACCCCCACAAUACUCAAAUUUUAAUGAAAAGUUUCCAUGGGUAUGAAGUAAAGUUCUCCUGUCUAUGACAAAGUGAAGUUUACCUAUGAUAAGGUAAAAUCCACCUGUCUGAUAAAGUUACCUUGUCUAUGAUAAGGAAAAGUUACCCUGUCUGUGCUAAAUUUUUCUUGUCUUUGAUAAAGUACAUUUUUCCUGUCUUUGAUAAAGUAAAUUUUUCUUGUCUAUGAUAAGGUAAAUUUCUCCUGUCUU
This is a non-coding RNA of Biomphalaria pfeifferi, 758 nucleotides long. NCBI's taxonomy places the organism in Eukaryota, Metazoa, Mollusca, Gastropoda, Planorbidae. The record is from the annotation of a GenBank genome assembly.